Molecule: long non-coding RNA, 1520 nt
Organism: Neofelis nebulosa (Clouded leopard)
Lineage: Eukaryota; Metazoa; Chordata; Mammalia; Carnivora; Felidae
Exons: 2
Source: RefSeq, a predicted model, not a curated record
CAGACGUUCCUCCCACCCGCAGAGCUCGCCCUUCAGGCAAAGACAGGCAGGCACCAGGGAAGGGGGUCAAGAGCCAAAGAGGUGGUAAGCGUGGCACCUGCCCGAGGGCCUUCUAGAGGGAGAAGCGGCACAGAGGCAGGAGAAGGCUCGUGCGUGUGGAGGAUUUACUCCGCAGAAGCAGGAAACCAGGAAAGGUCCGGAAGGAGCGGCUGCGGCAGGUGCGGUGGGCGGGGCGGGUGCAGGUUCAGGUGCAGGGGGGCGGUCGGAAGGCCACCCCCAAGGAAGAGGGGAGCAGCCCCCAAACGCGGAGGGCCGCAACCACACCACCAAGCAGCUCUCCACGUGGAGUCCAGAGGAGGGUCUGGCUCGGGCCGGGGGGUGGGGUGGGGGUGGGGGCCUGGGUAAGCGGAAGGCAAACUAGAUUUAACGGGACGGGAAACCGAGGCAACACUUCCAGGAAAUGGAACGGUCAGAGAAACCCUGGGUUGAGGCAAAUGCAAACUGUCGUCUGGAGCGUUCUCCGGCACCUGGGGAAGGCUCGUGCUCCUGGAAGCUAAAAAACACAUCCAGAAACAAACAAGGAAUUCAGCAUCAGCUCAGAAUUCCUCAGAUCUCCUCCGGUGGAAUGUGAAAAUCCACGCUGCAUCUCACAGCUCAAGAGCCAGCAGGCCGGGGACUUGUGAGGUCACCUCCCAGAGCCACACAGAGAGCAGUCUCUCCUCUUCCUGUUCAAGGUGGAGGCCCCAAGCCUGGAACCCACUUGGACUAAACAUUCACUAAACGUUACACGGACAAGCUCUAGCACCAGGGGGAGCAGAGCCUUCCUGGUCAAGUACAGAAAAUAAGAAAGCAAUCUGAGAAUAAUACUAAAUAUGAUUCCAAGGGGGAAAACGUCCCACAAACACCACAAACAGGGACAGAAGUCCCUCGAAACAGUGCAGCAUUGAGAUGAAGGGUAAGAGGAGAAAACUCGCUCGGACGACACACAGGCGUGCGACUGCUCUCACUCCCUCUGAAACCAUCCGAUGGGAAGGUGGAGGCUGGCAACAAGACUAACCGGAGAAAAGUUAAAAGCCGGCAAACUUACUAUUGCAGAAAAUAAACAGCACCCCAGAGGCAUCUGCACAUGUCAGUAAAGUCCACCUUCGGCGUGAGGCUCACACCGAACUGUUAAGACACCGCAGCCUUUCAAGUCAAGUCUCGGGCAUAAAUACAGGCGGGCAUGACAGGACAGGAGAGGCGGUACUGGGCUCCCUAGAAGGAGCUGUGGAACGUCACACACCCGGCGUCCUGGCCCCACGGAGGAGCCACAAGCCCUGUCAUUACUUGUGCCGUCCCCUUCCUUGUGGGACUCCAGCUGCUCUAGGAGGCACCGCUGUUUGGGCGUCCGGCCUCGUGGACUGGACCAACAAUAGUGCCAAUGGCGGAAAACCGUAGCUUGCGAGGGGGCCCGGCGCUGACCCUUGGGAUUCUCUCUCUCCCUCUCUCUCUGCCCCUCCCCUGUUCUCACUUUCUCUCUC